AGAGAAGUACCCAAGUGGCUCAAGGGGCUCCCCUGCUAAGGGAGUAGAUCGUUAACACGGUGCGAGGGUUCGAAUCCCUUCUUCUCUG
RNAcentral lists this transfer RNA (88 nucleotides) under Bacillus sp. AG236. Its description in RNAcentral is "tRNA-Ser". It matches the Rfam family "tRNA". From Rfam's summary of the family: Transfer RNA (tRNA) molecules are approximately 80 nucleotides in length. Their secondary structure includes four short double-helical elements and three loops (D, anti-codon, and T loops). The record is from RNAcentral. Lineage: Bacteria; Bacillati; Bacillota; Bacilli; Caryophanales; Bacillaceae.